AUUGAACGCUGGCGGCAGGCCUAACACAUGCAAGUCGAGCGGAUGAAGGGAGCUUGCUCCUGGAUUCAGCGGCGGACGGGUGAGUAAUGCCUAGGAAUCUGCCUGGUAGUGGGGGAUAACGUCUGGAAACGGGCGCUAAUACCGCAUACGUCCUGAGGGAGAAAGUGGGGGAUCUUCGGACCUCACGCUAUCAGAUGAGCCUAGGUCGGAUUAGCUAGUUGGUGGGGUAAGGCCUACCAAGGCGACGAUCCGUAACUGGUCUGAGAGGAUGAUCAGUCACACUGGAACUGAGACACGGUCCAGACUCCUACGGGAGGCAGCAGUGGGGAAUAUUGGACAAAGGGCGAAAGCCUGAUCCAGCCAUGCCGCGUGUGUGAAGAAGGUCUUCGGAUUGUAAAGCACUUUAAGUUGGGAGGAAGGGCAGUAAGUUAAUACCUUGCUGUUUUGACGUUACCAACAGAAUAAGCACCGGCUAACUUCGUG
RNAcentral lists this ribosomal RNA (483 nucleotides) under uncultured bacterium. RNAcentral's name for it is "partial 16S ribosomal RNA". It matches the Rfam family "Bacterial small subunit ribosomal RNA", at positions 30 to 507 of the family's 1533-position model. The record is from RNAcentral.